CGUAAUCAAAACGAUUACCGAAAACACGGAAUAUUUUAUCGGGGAGGGGGGCAGGGGGAAUAAAAAACCGAGUGCAUAUCGCAACGGUCGUAAUAAUAUUCAUAAAUAAUAAUAAUAAUAAUACCAAGACCUACCAAUAAACUCUGUGGCGAGACGACGCGUACCAUUGAUUGUCAUCGUGUUCUCGAUUUCCUGUUAUAUUACAUCACGGACACAGACGAUAACGCAUUUAUCAAAAACGUAUAGACGUACGUAUUAUAAAUUACGAUUAUUAUUAUCGCUACCGAGGGCGGUUUUCGUUGCGUUUUACCAUAAUAUAGUCAACGCCGACAUUAUAAUGUACGAGGUUUCAUAUUAUAUUAUAAUUUACAAAUGGUUU
Molecule: non-coding RNA, 379 nt
Organism: Cinara cedri
Lineage: Eukaryota; Metazoa; Arthropoda; Insecta; Hemiptera; Aphididae
Source: the annotation of a GenBank genome assembly